CCUACGGGCGGCAGCAGUGGGGAAUAUUGCACAAUGGGGGAAACCCUGAUGCAGCGACGCCGCGUGAGUGAAGAAGUAUCUCGGUAUGUAAAGCUCUAUUAGCAGGGAAGAAAAUGACGGUACCUGAUUAAGAAGCCCCGGCUAACUCCGUGCCAGCAGCCGCGGUAAUACGUAGGGGGCAAGCGUUAUCCGGAUUUACUGGGUGUAAAGGGAGCUUAGACGGGAGCACAAGUCUGGAGGGAAAUGCUGGGGCUUAACCCCGGACCUGCUUUGGAAAUUGGGCAGCUAGAGUGCAGUAGAGAUAAGUGGAAUUCCUAGUGUAGCGGUGAAAUGCGUAGAUAUUA
RNAcentral lists this ribosomal RNA (344 nucleotides) under uncultured bacterium. Its description in RNAcentral is "partial 16S ribosomal RNA". It matches the Rfam family "Bacterial small subunit ribosomal RNA", at positions 338 to 699 of the family's 1533-position model. The record is from RNAcentral.